ACUGGAGGCCCGAACCAGUACACGUUGAAAAGUGUUUGGAUGAGCUGUGGGUAGGGGUGAAAGGCCAAUCAAACUGAGAGAUAGCUCGUACUCCCCGAAAUGCUUUUAGGAGCAGCGUGUGGAGAUGUUUGUUAGAGGUAGAGCUACCGAUUGGACUAGGGGGAGUCACAUCCUACCAAAUCCAGACGAACUCCGAAUGCUAAUAAAUUAUCCAUGCAGUGAGGGUUUGGGUGCUAAGGUCCAAAUCCGAGAGGGAAAGAACCCAGACCUACGGCUAAGGUCCCUAAAUCCGCGCUAAGUUGAACUAAGGAGGUCCAAUUGCUUAGACAGCCAGGAUGUUGGCUUGGAAGCAGCCAUUCAUUUAAAGAGUGCGUAACAGCUCACUGGUCGAGCGAUAGGGCAUCGAUAAUAAUCGGGCAUCAAGUGCGGUACCGAAGCCUAGGAUAGAAAUAUGGUAGGGGAGCAUUCUCUGUGGGGCGAAGGUGUGCUGUGAGGCAUGCUGGAGGUAUCAGAAGUGCGAAUGCUGACAUGAGUAGCGUUAAAGGGGGUGAAAAGCCCCCUCGCCGUAAGCGCAAGGUUUCCU
This 583-nucleotide ribosomal RNA is filed under the name uncultured Pelagophyceae. Its description in RNAcentral is "partial Bacterial large subunit ribosomal RNA". It matches the Rfam family "Bacterial large subunit ribosomal RNA", at positions 765 to 1356 of the family's 2925-position model. The record is from RNAcentral. Lineage: Eukaryota; Pelagophyceae.